Molecule: RNA transcript, 2857 nt
Organism: Centrocercus urophasianus (Greater sage-grouse)
Lineage: Eukaryota; Metazoa; Chordata; Aves; Galliformes; Phasianidae
Gene: DNAJC15
Gene name: DnaJ heat shock protein family (Hsp40) member C15
Exons: 7
Source: RefSeq, a predicted model, not a curated record
UAUGAGCUUCAUAGCAAAAAGGGAAGGAAGUCCAUCCAUGAGGCUCCAGACGCUGAGAUACUACAUUCUUUUACAUACAGCCAUACCUGCUCAUCUAUGGUUAGUAUGGGUAGAGAUGUGGCAUCUCUGUGGUGGUUAGAGACUACUGUCAAAAGAUGGGAACAUAAAUUAAUUUAAAUGGCUUCAUCUCUUCUAAGUAAUCUGACAUGGGCAGCUGCUGCUGGGUUCACAAGAAGACACUCCUGCAGCUCCCCAGCUACCCACAGGCUUGCUAUGUAAGCCCAGUAUACCUCAUCUUGCUACAGAGUAACAGAGUAUGGUUGCAGAGAUGAAAUGGGAUAACAAACAUCACCUUCAGGGCUGAAACAGCUCUGUUCCCAAACUGAAUUUUGCUUUUAAGUUGUGCAGGAUGAUAACUAUACUUGUUUUACGUUUGGAGUGACAGAAAAACAACAGUGAAGGCAUAGAGUCCGUGAGGACAGCUGUAAGAAUUCAUUAAUCAUGAAUACAUAUCCAGGAAGGCUGGUUGAAUGCCUGACAUUAACACUUCUGCUAGUGAAUCUACUGCUCUGGUAGAGUCCCCUGUGAAAAAUUGUCAGAAACUUUUAAGUUUGUAGUAGUUUCGUAUGAAAAACCAGAAAGUUACUAUAAAAUAAAUGAAGUAAAUAGACAUGAAAAUUGGGUGUGUAUGGAGAUGAGCUUUUAGCUGAAACUAGUUUUAAUUUAUUAUUGGAAAAUAAACUUCAUAGGGAGGUGAGAAUGGACAGAAAGCAUUAAGUUAUGAAAUCAAAUCUGUUGCAGGUAGUUUUUAAUAUAAUCCCAGUGCAUCCAGCUCCAUAUACAGCUAAUUAGGUGGUUUGCUCUGAAACCUUCUAAUAAACUCUGAAGCCUUCUAGUACUGUAGCUACUCUUCUGGGGAAUAGCAACCUUCUUGUAACUUCCAUGCCAGAUGCAGUCAUUUAUUUGAGGUUUAGAAUGUUUAAAUAAGGGAGAAAAGCCUUGGAAAUAGUUCUGCAUGCUUGGUUAAUAUCCUUGUGAGUUCUAAUUUUUAGCAGCAUACAUACAGCUGUUUAAAAAACAAACAUGUUUUUAAAACGAAGUUUCUAGUUAAGCAUAUUGCAUUUGUGCAUUUACUUGAUUUCAGGUACAUACAUCCGUAUUUUUACCUAUCCACAAUUAACCAUGGACUACUAACAAACUGCUGUCCAGUCCAUCAGAACAAAUAAUUGUUUUUCUACAUGCUUUUUAUUCCAUUUCACUAUAGCUGUCUGUGGCCCUAAAAAAGUAUAGAGCCCUAGCAGUAUAUCUUAAAGCUAGUUAUUAGGGAAGCAGAGUACUUUUUGUUUGACCAAGGAGGGUGUUUCCACUGACUGCAGUAGAAGAACCAGAGUAUAAAAUCCAGAUCUUGUGCAGGCAGGCCAGAUCUAUGAUAGCAGUUGGACUCGGUGUGGCAACUGUUGCAUUUGCAGGUCGUUAUGCAUUCCACCUUUGGAAGCCAUUGGGGCAGGCAAUUACAGAGACAGCAAAAAAGAUUUCAACUUCUAGUCUUUCAUUAUACUAUAAAGGAGGAUUUGAGCAGAAAAUGAGUAGGCGUGAAGCAAGUCUUAUUUUAGGUGUAAGUCCAUCUGCUGACAAGGCCAAAAUCAGAGCAGCCCAUAGAAGAAUCAUGAUCUUGAAUCAUCCUGAUAAAGGAGCACCAGGUGAAGGGAUUUGUGCCUCCAUGCUGCCCCUGCAGCUCUUCUGUCAUGGCCAAAGAGAGAAGUGUUGUCUAAUGUCUUCAGCUGCAGAGUUCAGACCUGGAACAAUCUUGAACAUGUGGCAUUGCAGAGAGAUUUGCUUGGUUAUGUUUUCAACUUCAUUUCUUCUGGCUCUGGUAGCACAGAUGUGCUUUUACAAGCAAUAUCCAACAUUAGAAUGUAAUUCUACCAGCUGGCGUUGGUAGAAGAAAGAUCAAUAAAUACAGAUUUGAAAAGUUACUCAUAUUACCUGAGAUUCAAAACAAUGAAGAAACCGUGAUUAGAAAUAAAUCACUAAUAGAAGUUUGCAUAAGAACAUCCCUGGUGAGCAGUACUAGAAUGGUUGCUCAUUAACCUUUGCACAGUUCAGUUUGAAAGUGUUUUUAUAUUGAUAUACUGUAUGUUAUUUUUAUAUGUAUUAUUUAUUCUGUGAAAGAAUGCUUGCUAACAGAAACAGAGGAAGAGAUGAGUCUUUUGGACUUGCUUUAAUUAUAAACAAACACUUAAGCAAUCAUGAGAUUGAAUUUUCUCUCAUUGGAGGGCUGCAAAAUUAAUAUGGCACUUGAGGGUGUUUCAGGAUGUGAACAUAGUAAAAACACUUCUCACUGAAUUGAAUUUACUUUAAGAUUCACUCUAGUAAUGUAGAAACUGAAGGCAAAGUUGAAAAUUACUUGGGAUACAAAGUUUAUUGCAGCUUAUAGUCCUUACUUGUCAGGGUUUUGAAAGAAGCAGUACUCAGUGUAGUAGACAAUUUUCUGUCCUUGCCCUGCCUCACUUUCCUCACAUGCCUUUGCUAUUAGGACUGCAUUCAAGCAAAACAGAGCAUGAACAAGACAGCUGAACUCCGUUAUUUUUUCCAGCUGUUUUAUUAGGCUAUGAACUGACUUUAGAAUGAUUUGGAUUCCUGCAAAAGUGACCUGAAGAAGUCUUUGUGUUUACGAGCGUUUAGUGCUAGUUCUUCUGUGUGUCUUCUAUCACUGUCUGCUGUGAUGAAUGAAGAGUUACGAUUGAGCAGCCCCCUUGGAAAAGGCUGGUGGAUCUCCUUACUUAGCAACAAAAAUAAACGAAGCAAAAGACUUGCUGGAAUCCAGUACCAAAAAUUGAAAUCCUAAGACUUGCAU